RNAcentral lists this ribosomal RNA (492 nucleotides) under uncultured bacterium. Its description in RNAcentral is "partial 16S ribosomal RNA". It matches the Rfam family "Bacterial small subunit ribosomal RNA", at positions 29 to 507 of the family's 1533-position model. The record is from RNAcentral.
AGUGAACGCUGGCGGUAGGCCUAACACAUGCAAGUCGAACGGCAGCACAGUAAGAGCUUGCUCUUACGGGUGGCGAGUGGCGGACGGGUGAGGAAUACAUCGGAAUCUACUUUUUCGUGGGGGUUAACGUAGGGAAACUUACGCUAAUACCGCAUACGACCUACGGGUGAAAGCAGGGGAUCUUCGGACCUUGCGCGAUUGAAUGAGCCUAUGUCGGAUUAGCUAGUUGGCGGGGUAAAGGCCCACCAAGGCGACGAUCCGUAGCUGGUCUGAGAGGAUGAUCAGCCACACUGGAACUGAGACACGGUCCAGACUCCUACGGGAGGCAGCAGUGGGGAAUAUUGGACAAUGGGCGCAAGCCUGAUCCAGCCAUACCGCGUGGGUGAAGAAGGCCUUCGGGUUGUAAAGCCCUUUUGUUGGGAAAGAAAAGCAGCAGGUUAAUACCCCGCUGUUCUGACGGUACCCAAAGAAUAAGCACCGGCUAACUUCGUG